RNAcentral lists this ribosomal RNA (303 nucleotides) under uncultured bacterium. Its description in RNAcentral is "partial 16S ribosomal RNA". It matches the Rfam family "Bacterial small subunit ribosomal RNA", at positions 507 to 807 of the family's 1533-position model. The record is from RNAcentral.
AGCAGUAGCCACGGGAAUACGUAGGGUGCAAGCGUUGUCCGGAAUUAUUGGGCGUAAAGAGCGUGUAGGCGGCUCGACAAGUCCGCUGUGAAAGUCCAGGGCUCAACCCUGGAAUGCCGGUGGAUACUGUCGAGCUAGAGUCCGGAAGGGGCGAGUGGAACUCCUGGUGUAGCGGUGAAAUGCGCAGAUAUCAGGAAGAACACCAAUGGCGAAGGCAGCUCGCUGGGACGUGACUGACGCUGAGACGCGAAAGCGUGGGGAGCGAACAGGAUUAGAUACCCCGGUAGUCCCUGUCUCUUAUAC